UGUGUAGGCGGCCAGAUAAGUCGGGUGUGAAAGCCCUGGGCUCAACCCAGGAAGUGCACUCGAUACUGCUUGGCUUGAGUACUGGAGAGGUUGGUGGAAUUCUCGGUGUAGAGGUGAAAUUCGUAGAUAUCGAGAGGAACACCGGUGGCGAAGGCGGCCAACUGGACAGAUACUGACGCUGAGACACGAAAGCGUGGGGAGCAAACAGGAUUAGAUACCCUGGUAGUCCACGCCGUAAACGAUGGGUGCUAGGUGUCACUGGCAUUGACUCCGGUGGUGCCGCAGCUAACGCAUUAAGCACCCCGCCUGGGAAGUACGGCCGCAAGGCUAAA
This 332-nucleotide ribosomal RNA is filed under the name uncultured bacterium. RNAcentral's name for it is "bacterial SSU rRNA". It matches the Rfam family "Bacterial small subunit ribosomal RNA", at positions 568 to 898 of the family's 1533-position model. The record is from RNAcentral.